AUGGAUUUCAUCACAGGUUUGCCAAGGACUCGUUCAGGCUAUGACUCGAUUUGGGUUAUAGUCGACCGCUUGACGAAGGUAGCUUAUUUCAUUCCAGUCAAGACUACCUAUAGCAGUGCUAAGUUGGCAAAGAUAUACAUGACCAGAAUUGUGUGUUUGCACGGAGUUCCGAGGAGUAUCGUAUCAGAUAGAGGAACCCAAUUUACCUCAAAGUUUUGGAAUCAGUUGCAUGAAACAUUGGGAACCAGGUUGGAAUUCAGUACAGCUUUUCACCCACAGACAGAUGGACAGACUGAGAGAGUCAAUCAGAUUUUGGAGGAUAUG
RNAcentral lists this ribosomal RNA (324 nucleotides) under Triticum aestivum (bread wheat). RNAcentral describes it as "partial small subunit ribosomal RNA". Lineage: Eukaryota; Viridiplantae; Streptophyta; Magnoliopsida; Poales; Poaceae. The record is from RNAcentral.